CAGCAGCCGCGGUAAUACGAAGGGGGCUAGCGUUGUUCGGAUUUACUGGGCGUAAAGCGCACGUAGGCGGAUGAUUAAGUCAGGGGUGAAAUCCCGAGGCUCAACCUCGGAACUGCUUUGAUACUGGUCAUCUUGAGUCCGGGAGAGGUGAGUGGGACUGCGAGUGUAGAGGUGAAAUUCGUAGAUAUUCGCAAGAACACCAGUGGCGAAGGCGGCUCACUGGCCCGGUACUGACGCUGAGGUGCGAAAGCGUGGGGAGCAAACAGGAUUAGAUACCCCUGUAGUCCCUGUCUCUUAUACC
This 301-nucleotide ribosomal RNA is filed under the name uncultured bacterium. RNAcentral's name for it is "partial 16S ribosomal RNA". It matches the Rfam family "Bacterial small subunit ribosomal RNA", at positions 509 to 808 of the family's 1533-position model. The record is from RNAcentral.